Molecule: ribosomal RNA, 253 nt
Filed under: Aeoliella sp.
Lineage: Bacteria; Pseudomonadati; Planctomycetota; Planctomycetia; Pirellulales; Lacipirellulaceae
Also listed under: 1 other name
Description: partial 16S ribosomal RNA
Rfam family: Bacterial small subunit ribosomal RNA
Source: RNAcentral
UACGAACCGUCCAAACGUUAUUCGGAAUCACUGGGCUUAAAGAGUCCGUAGGCGGCUCAGAAAGUAGGGUGUGAAAUCCCACGGCUCAACCGUGGAACUGCGCUCUAAACUACUGAGCUUGAGGGAGCUAGAGGUAAGCGGAACUGAUGGUGGAGCGGUGAAAUGCGUUGAUAUCAUCAGGAACACCGGAGGCGAAGGCGGCUUACUGGGGCUUUUCUGACGCUGAGGGACGAAAGCUAGGGUAGCGAACGGG